UACAUGGGGUGCAAACGUUGCUCGGAAUUAUUGGGCGUAAAGCGCACGUAGGCGGUUCGUUAAGUCGGAUGUGAAAGCCCUCGGCUCAACUGAGGAAGUGCACCCGAAACUGGCGAGCUUGAGUACGAAAGAGGAUCGCGGAAUUCCCGGUGUAGAGGUGAAAUUCGUAGAUAUCGGGAGGAACACCGGUGGCGAAGGCGGCGAUCUGGGUCGAUACUGACGCUGAGGCGCGAAAGCUAGGGGAGCAAACAGGG
This 254-nucleotide ribosomal RNA is filed under the name uncultured bacterium. Its description in RNAcentral is "partial 16S ribosomal RNA". It matches the Rfam family "Bacterial small subunit ribosomal RNA", at positions 524 to 777 of the family's 1533-position model. The record is from RNAcentral.